AGGAAUCCGGUGCGAACCGGCGGUUCAGCGAAGCUGGGGCCGCCGCUUCAAUUCCGGAGCGGUCCCGCCACUGUGAUCGGGGGAGCGAAGCCCGCCCGAGAGCCAGACACU
Non-coding RNA from Mycobacterium sp., 111 nucleotides. The record is from Rfam. NCBI's taxonomy places the organism in Bacteria, Bacillati, Actinomycetota, Actinomycetes, Mycobacteriales, Mycobacteriaceae.